GGAGAUCCGGUCAACACUUUUACCGCGCGAAGAAAACGGCCAGGGGAGAACCCUACGAUCCGAUGCGAGAUCUCACCUUGAGCCGGCGGUUGAUGGUGGAGCGAGUGUAGUGCUCGAUGGUGGUCUUCAUGCGAAUCGCUGAGGAUCGCUGUUCGUUGACGCGCUUGUUGUGGAGGGCGGCGGUCGCGGCCUUGCGCGCCUGCGCGGCAGCGACGAGGAGUUCGCGCCUCGCGUCCUUCUGCGGGUCAAAGUCAAAAGUUUGGGUCAGAUUGCCGUGAGACGGGACGUGCGUCGCGUCGGAGAGCGGGGGUAUCCGGGCCGUGCGAAACGCGAUGAACGCCGCCACGCGGUCCUUCACGAUGAGAAUGCGUCGAAUUCAACGAAACCGGGCGCGAAGCACGCAUCGACGCCCGUCGCGGUCGACGCACGCGGCGGUGACAAACGCGCGGAGGGAAAAACCAAACGCAUCAUCUCACCUCCUCGGUGACGGCCUUGCGCUCCGGCUUCUCGCGAGCCUGGAGGCGCGCUGCGACGGAAGGGAGCGUUGCGCGGCGGUAGCCGGUGUGCACCGGCACCUUGAUGACGAUGGGGCACGCGGUCGUGGACAUGGUGGGUCGCGUGUCGGGAGUGG
This 631-nucleotide long non-coding RNA is filed under the name Micromonas commoda. Its description in RNAcentral is "long non-coding RNA (MCOM_LNC000249)". The record is from RNAcentral. Lineage: Eukaryota; Viridiplantae; Chlorophyta; Mamiellophyceae; Mamiellales; Mamiellaceae.